AGCAGCCGCGGUAAUUCCAGCUCCAAUAGCGUAUAUUAAAGUUGUUGCAGUUAAAAAGCUCGUAGUUGAAUUUCGGGGUCAGUAGGUCGGUCGUGCCACUGGUAUGAACUGGUUUCACUGAUUCCUCCCUCUUGUAGAACCGUGAUGCCAUUAAUUUGGUGUUGCGGGGAAACAGGACUGUUACUUUGAAAAAAUUAGAGUGUUUAAAGCAAGCUAACGCUUGAAUACAUUAGCAUGGAAUAAUGAAAUAGGACGUCGAUCUUAUUUUGUUGGUUUCUAGGGUUGACGUAAUGAUUAAUAGGGAUAGUUGGGGGCAUUAGUAUUCAAUUGUCAGAGGUGAAAUUCUUGGAUUUAUUGAAGACUAACUACUGCGAAAGCAUUUGCCAAGGAUGUUUUCAUUAAUCAAGAACGAAAGUUAGGGAUCGAAGACGAUCAGAUACCGUCGUAGUC
Molecule: ribosomal RNA, 450 nt
Filed under: uncultured Glomeromycotina
Lineage: Eukaryota; Fungi; Glomeromycota
Description: SSU rRNA
Rfam family: Eukaryotic small subunit ribosomal RNA
Source: RNAcentral